GGAGAGAUGGCCGAGUGGCUGAAGGCGCACGCCUGGAAAGUGUGUAUACGGUAACGUAUCGGGGGUUCGAAUCCCCCUCUCUCCGCCA
This 88-nucleotide transfer RNA is filed under the name Crenothrix polyspora. Its description in RNAcentral is "tRNA-Ser". It matches the Rfam family "tRNA". From Rfam's summary of the family: Transfer RNA (tRNA) molecules are approximately 80 nucleotides in length. Their secondary structure includes four short double-helical elements and three loops (D, anti-codon, and T loops). Lineage: Bacteria; Pseudomonadati; Pseudomonadota; Gammaproteobacteria; Methylococcales; Crenotrichaceae. The record is from RNAcentral. RNAcentral also lists the same sequence under 2 other names.